GGCGCGUUCGUCUAGUGGCUUAGGACGCUGCCCUCUCAAGGCAGAGAUCACGGGUUCGAAUCCCGUACGCGCUACCA
Molecule: transfer RNA, 77 nt
Filed under: Ignavibacteriales bacterium
Lineage: Bacteria; Pseudomonadati; Ignavibacteriota; Ignavibacteria; Ignavibacteriales
Also listed under: 1 other name
Description: tRNA-Glu
Rfam family: tRNA
About the family: Transfer RNA (tRNA) molecules are approximately 80 nucleotides in length. Their secondary structure includes four short double-helical elements and three loops (D, anti-codon, and T loops).
Source: RNAcentral